UCCGGUUAAUCCUCCUUCUGUUGCUAUGGUGAGUUUAUAAAUCAUUCAUUCAUCUGUUUAAUUUAUUCUGAAACACUGACUCAGUUUUUUUGUCGUCAAAUUACUAUAUGUUUAGAUGUUAGAUGAGGAAGAUAAGAUGUUUCGUGAUGCCUUAAUUGAAAGUCGGAAAGAAUAUGCCGCAUUUUUGGACUCAUGGCCUACUUUCUCUGAUUACACUAAGCCUUCAUAUGAAGGUUUGGAAAACGCUAUAAAACAGAAGGAAGCUGAAACUAUAUCUAAAAUUGAAAGUUCUCGUGGCCGUAGCUCUACCGUGAACCGCAAGUAAACGUCGACACCUGCUUCAUGAGAUAUUAACUAAAUUAUGUCAGUGCUUCUUUUGAUUUUACUUAGUCGUAUUUAACCGUUUAAUCGUUUCUUUAAUAUGAAACACAUUUAAGAGUUUUGAAUUAGUGUUUUACUAUAGAAAGAGUUUGAAUAAGCGUUCUACUUAUUACACAAGGCGGUGUGGAUAAGAUUAAGAAGCAAUUGAGGGCAAUCAAAUUAAAAGCAUCGGUCUCAACCUUGCACUAACAACAAGACUUCUUAUUGACAAAAUCUUCUUGGAAAUUUUGUAUACGUAGGACGAAAGAGAUUCUCUUACGAACACAGUAGGUAUUGAUUUCCAAACAAUGAUUGGUUUGUGUUGUACAGCUGAGCUACCCUUGUGGGAGGGGGGUCAUAUGACCCAUGGGGUUAUGUUAAUUUUUUUUUAAUUUGUAUUUCUUAUAAAAAGAGCUAGGAAAAUAUUGCAAUAUUAGUUCAUUGACCCUAUAAAAAUGUUAACCAUAAGAUUGACCCAUGCAAGAGAUUGGGCUGGCUCCGCCACUUGUACUUGCAAUCUCAUUGAUAAGUACAAGAAGGCGUAUGUGAGGAAGAGAUUGAAGAAUAAAAUUGUGGAGGGUGAUGUUUUGAAUAAAGAAGAAGAGUAAAAUAAAGACACUGAAGGAUUCAGAAUCUUUACUAUGAAACAGAGUUGAAGGAAGUAUAAAUAAGAGUCAUAUUGUUUCUAUUUUCCUUAUGCUUGAUAUCAUUCUAAUUCUGUUGACGAUAUGAGUCGCAGGUCGAUCGCUAUGAGAUCGUAGUACUUUGAUAUUGAAAAUUUGUAAUCAGUACUUGUAUUGAGAGAUUCGUAUUGAUUGAGUGAGAAAUACAGAAUUCGUAUUAUCAUAAA
This is a long non-coding RNA of Brassica napus (rape), 1210 nucleotides long. RefSeq lists it as uncharacterized. NCBI's taxonomy places the organism in Eukaryota, Viridiplantae, Streptophyta, Magnoliopsida, Brassicales, Brassicaceae. The record is from RefSeq and is a predicted model, not a curated record. The transcript has 2 exons.